RNAcentral lists this transfer RNA (69 nucleotides) under Megalyra sp. MM-2014. Its description in RNAcentral is "tRNA-Cys". Lineage: Eukaryota; Metazoa; Arthropoda; Insecta; Hymenoptera; Megalyridae. The record is from RNAcentral.
GACUUUAUAUUUUAUAUAAAAUAAUAAACUGCAAAUUUAGAAAAAUAAAAUUUAUUUUUAUUAAAGUCU